Molecule: ribosomal RNA, 359 nt
Filed under: uncultured bacterium
Lineage: Bacteria
Description: bacterial SSU rRNA
Rfam family: Bacterial small subunit ribosomal RNA
Source: RNAcentral
GCUCAGGACGAACGCUGGCGGCGUGCGUAACACAUGCAAGUCGAACGAGAGAGUGAGAGAAGCUUGCUUUUCUUAUGAUCGAGUGGCAAACGGGUGAGUAACGCGUAAACAACCUGCCCCGCAGAUGGGGACAACAGCUGGAAACGGCUGCUAAUACCGAAUACGGUCCUCUUAGCGCACGGUAAGAGGAAGAAAGGGUGGCCUCUGGAACAAGCUACCGCUGUGGGAGGGGUUUGCGUCUGAUUAGCUGGUUGGAGGGGUAACGGCCCACCAAGGCGACGAUCAGUAGCCGGUCUGAGAGGAUGAACGGCCACAUUGGAACUGAGACACGGUCCAGACUCCUACGGGAGGCAGCAGUA